GUCAGAGUGGUGUAGUGGUUUGAGCAUUGGACUAUGACUCUAGAGAUCAGGGUUUAAAUCCCUGCUGGACC
This is a non-coding RNA of Phrynosoma platyrhinos (Desert horned lizard), 71 nucleotides long. The record is from the annotation of a GenBank genome assembly. Lineage: Eukaryota; Metazoa; Chordata; Lepidosauria; Squamata; Phrynosomatidae.